Molecule: long non-coding RNA, 214 nt
Filed under: Elaeis guineensis (African oil palm)
Lineage: Eukaryota; Viridiplantae; Streptophyta; Magnoliopsida; Arecales; Arecaceae
Description: long non-coding RNA (EGUI_LNC072857)
Source: RNAcentral
CCCCGACCAAAGAAAGGCGGAAUGCCUACACGACCGCCCUCGCGACUUACCGACCUAGCUACGGCCGGUCGAAGGAUAUUCGGCUUGCCACCGUCUAUCGCACGAUGCGACCUCAGUCGCAUUCAUGACUCACCGACCGAGCUACGGUCGGCCGGGAGAUAUUCGGUUUACCACCGUAUAUCAUGAGGUGCAGUAUAGAUACCCGACACAAGGG